Molecule: ribosomal RNA, 317 nt
Filed under: uncultured Prevotella sp.
Lineage: Bacteria; Pseudomonadati; Bacteroidota; Bacteroidia; Bacteroidales; Prevotellaceae
Description: bacterial SSU rRNA
Rfam family: Bacterial small subunit ribosomal RNA
Source: RNAcentral
GAUGAACGCUAGCUACAGGCUUAACACAUGCAAGUCGAGGGGUAACAUUGGCUGAGCUUGCUCAGCCAGAUGGCGACCGGCGCACGGGUGAGUAACGCGUAUCCAACUUCCCCUACUCAGGCAUAGCCCGGUGAAAACCGGAUUAACUCCUGAUAGUUUCACUAGAUGGCAUCUGACGGUGAAUAAAGCUCAGCGGUAAGGGAUGGGGAUGCGUCUGAUUAGCUUGUUGGCGGGGUAACGGCCCACCAAGGCGACGAUCAGUAGGGGUUCUGAGAGGAAGGUCCCCCACAUUGGAACUGAGACACGGUCCAAACUCC